GGUAUUGUAAUAGGGUAGAGGGUAUUGUAAUAGGGUAGAGGGUAUUGUAAUAGGGUAGAGGGUAUUGUAAUAGGGUAGAGGGUAUUGUAAUAGGGUAGAGGGUAUUGUAAUGUAAUAGGAAGAGGGUAUUGUAAUAGGGUAGAGAGUAUUGUAAUAGGGUGAGGGGUAUUGUAAUGUAAUAGGAAGAGGGUAUUGUAAUAGGGUAGAGGGUAUUGUAAUAGGGUAGAGGGUAAUGUAAUAGGGUAGAGGGUAUUGUAAUGUAAUAGGAAGAGGGUAUUGUAAUAGGGUAGAGAGUAUUGUAAUAGGGUAGAGGGUAUUGUAAUGUAAUAGGAAGAGGGUAUUGUAAUAGGGUAGAGAGUAUUGUAAUAGGUAGAGGGUAUUGUAAUGUAAUAGGAAGAGGGUAUUGUAAUAGGGUAGAGGGUAUUGUAAUAGGGUAGAGAGUAUUGUAAUAGGGUAGAGGGUAUUGUAAUAGGGUAA
Molecule: long non-coding RNA, 477 nt
Organism: Homarus americanus (American lobster)
Lineage: Eukaryota; Metazoa; Arthropoda; Malacostraca; Decapoda; Nephropidae
Exons: 3
Source: RefSeq, a predicted model, not a curated record